UGAGAACUAUCAGGUACUGAAAAUGAACUCACUCUCAGGCAUCAACGUGGAUCUCAAAAACAGAAUUUGGAGUGCAGGCUGCCAUCCUGCACACCCCCAAGAGAGCCAUCAUAGUGGCCUGUAUGAAUGCAACCCUCAGGAACUGCAGUGCACAGCCUGGGCAACCAACCUGUGGCCCUGGCUGAGUGAAUAAAGCAAGCUGAAGAGGAAGGGGAGUGGAGACAAGAAACAACAAAGGAUGAGGGUGACUUCUUUAACAUGCAAGAAAGAUUUCAUAAGUGUAUUUGCCAAGUCAGUUACUUUGAUGAGGUAUACUCACUCCCAUCCCCUCUCCUCCAUUGUCUCAGCCCCCACUACCUGCCACCAACAAACACACACACACACUUUCACAUUCAUGCCCUUGCGGGGCUUAUGUUUUCUCUGCAGAGCUUCAUUUGACAUCUAGAUAACUGGGAAAGUGGGAGGUGAAGAGGAGAGAAGCAGCACUUCCAUGUUCUCAGCAUUGGAGACGCUGUCCGAGGCCCCUGCUAGGAAAUGCUUCCGAUAUGUAAUCAAACUAGAAACACCCACCACCAACAAGAGACCCGGUGUUCCAAUUUUAUGAGAAAACAUGCCUUUCUUUGGCAUUUACUAAGAAGCAGUUACCUGUGUAUAGCAACUUUGGGAGAUGGUUUUGGAAAUCAUCCUGUGACUGGAUGCAGAUGGCAGAUUUUGUGCAGCCCAGACUUGCUCUGUCCACAGCACUCCGCACAGGGUUUCCACUACCCCCUCCCGCAGGACUGUUGCGUCUCACCUCGGGGUAUGUUUAAUAGAACCAGUGUCUGAGGAGUUAUGCGCUGAGGCUGGGAGGCCUUCAUGGCAACUGGCACAUUUUUACAAAACAACUCUGGUGGAUUGAGGGGGCCCUGGAGAGCGAGGACAAGGAGCUCAGUCUGUGUUCAGCUGGACGCCAGCAUCCCCUGUGGUUGCUCUAAAUAGUUCCUGUUCCUUCAAAUAGUUCCUGUUCUAGCAGGUGUUGUCCAGAGAGCAAGACUUGUAGGUUGGAAGAGGAGAGAGACUUCAUCCCAAUUUCGUGAGCAUUCAUCUCCAAGAGUGUCUCGUCUCAAGUUUCUAGACCUAACUGCAGCAACUGGCUUUUUGUACAUAUGUGAAGCCAUCUUCUCCCUUCCAUUCCAGUGUUCUAUUAAAAAACUGAAAAGAUAA
This 1203-nucleotide long non-coding RNA is filed under the name Chlorocebus sabaeus (green monkey). RNAcentral describes it as "lncRNA (ENSCSAG00000027984.1)". The record is from RNAcentral. Lineage: Eukaryota; Metazoa; Chordata; Mammalia; Primates; Cercopithecidae.